GGGGUUGACUGGAUUUGACAGCGGGCAGAAAUGGUAGGUAAGCAUGCAGUGGGUCGGUAAUUUCCACUUAAAUCUCAGUUAUCAAAACUUUAUCUGGCGAAACUAAUUACGCUCUUGCUGCUUAAUCGAAUCACAGUAGAUUAGCUUAAUCCAGGCACUAGGUCGUAAGGACGAGACAUCACUCGGAAGCUGUUGCUCCGAAGCAUUCCGGUUCAGUGGUGCAGUAACAUCGGGGAUAGUCAGAAGCGGCCUCGCGUUUUUUGAUGAAACUUUAGAGGAUAAGGCAGGAAUUGAUGGCUUUGGUUCUGCUCCUGCACGAAAAUUUAGGCAAAGAUAAGCAUGUAGAAAGCUUAUGAUUUCCUCGUUUGGACGAGGGUUCGAUUCCCUCCAGCUCCACCU
This 399-nucleotide transfer-messenger RNA is filed under the name Bacteroides thetaiotaomicron. Its description in RNAcentral is "Standard tmRNA". It matches the Rfam family "transfer-messenger RNA". Rfam says of the family: Bacterial tmRNA, also known as 10Sa RNA or SsrA, is named for its dual tRNA and mRNA-like properties. Its role is to liberate the mRNA from a stalled ribosome. The record is from RNAcentral. Lineage: Bacteria; Pseudomonadati; Bacteroidota; Bacteroidia; Bacteroidales; Bacteroidaceae.